RNAcentral lists this ribosomal RNA (631 nucleotides) under uncultured Sphingobacteriales bacterium. RNAcentral's name for it is "bacterial SSU rRNA". It matches the Rfam family "Bacterial small subunit ribosomal RNA", at positions 59 to 687 of the family's 1533-position model. Lineage: Bacteria; Pseudomonadati; Bacteroidota; Sphingobacteriia; Sphingobacteriales. The record is from RNAcentral.
CAGUCGAACGGCAGUAGAACCAGCAAUGGGACUAUGAGAGUGGCGAACGGGUGCGUAACGCGUAUGCAACUUACCUCCAACUGGGGAAUAGCCCUGGGAAACCGGGAUUAACACCGCAUAAGAUGGUAGAACCGCAUGGUUCAGCCAUUAAAGUUUACGGUUGGAGAUGGGCAUGCGUGCCAUUAGCUAGUUGGCGGGGUAAUAGCCCACCAAGGCGACGAUGGCUAGGGGGUCUGAGAGGAUGAUCCCCCACACUGGUACUGAGAUACGGACCAGACUCCUACGGGAGGCAGCAGUAGGGAAUAUUGGUCAAUGGACGCAAGUCUGAACCAGCCAUGCCGCGUGCAGGAUGAAGGCGCUCUGCGUUGUAAACUGCUUUUGUACGGGAAGAAUAUAUCGUUUGCGAACGGUUUUGACGGUACCGUAAGAAUAAGGAUCGGCUAACUACGUGCCAGCAGCCGCGGUAAUACGUAGGAUCCAAGCGUUGUCCGGAUUUAUUGGGUUUAAAGGGUGCGCAGGCGGCCUGAUAAGUCAGUGGUGAAAGCCCGUUGCUUAACAACGGAACUGCCAUUGAUACUGUCGGGCUUGAGUACAGUUGAGGUUGGCGGAAUGUAUCAUGUAGCGGUGAAAU